Small nucleolar RNA from Arvicanthis niloticus (Nile rat), 143 nucleotides. RefSeq annotates it as small nucleolar RNA SNORA48. The record is from RefSeq and is a predicted model, not a curated record. NCBI's taxonomy places the organism in Eukaryota, Metazoa, Chordata, Mammalia, Rodentia, Muridae.
UGUCCCAACAAUGGGCAAAGAGACACCUUGUUGAUGGCGUAGUUCUUAUAUCAGUCAGGGGCAGAGCAGAUAGCAGUCCUUUGCUCAUCCUAGCUUGAUGCCUGGCUUGACAGCCAAAGCCAUCUUAUGCCUAGGACUCAUAA